This 249-nucleotide ribosomal RNA is filed under the name uncultured bacterium. RNAcentral's name for it is "partial 16S ribosomal RNA". It matches the Rfam family "Bacterial small subunit ribosomal RNA", at positions 337 to 582 of the family's 1533-position model. The record is from RNAcentral.
GCCUACGGGGCGCAGCAGUGAGGAAUAUUGGUCAAUGGGCGCAAGCCUGAACCAGCCAAGUCGCGUGAGGGAUGACGGUCCUAUGGAUUGUAAACCUCUUUUGUCGGGGAGCAAGGCCCGCCACGUGUGGCGGGAAGGAGAGUACCCGAAGAAAAAGCAUCGGCUAACUCCGUGCCAGCAGCCGCGGUAAUACGUAGGUGGCGAGCGUUAUCCGGAAUGAUUGGGCGUAAAGGGUGCGUAGGCGGCCUG